CCUCUCUGCCUCCUCUCAGUUCUCCACACCCACACACUUCAGUACCUUAUCCCUUCCAUUGUCUCCGCACCGCUCUCAGAAAAAAAGCCACCGCAUCCUCGGUGCUCCCGGCGGCUACGGCGAAGGAGUCCCUGGGCAUGCUGCUGCUGCGCCGACGCCUUCGCCAUCCGCACCGUCGUGGGCAAUGCCAAAUACAACGCCGAUGCCGCAUAUACGCGCGCGCGCCGGUCGCCGCCGCGGCCUCGGUGCGCCCGACCACGGAGGAGGGGGAGGAGCAGGCGCAGUGGCGAAGGAGCCGGCAGCGUAGACGGAGGGAGAGGAGUAGCGCGAGGGGCGCGGACGGAGGGGUCGCCGGGGACGUUUGGCGCGCCACCACACAACGGUCCCGGGCCGCCGCCGGGAGGCAGAGAGGCGACAAGGUUUGUGCUGGCUGCCCUGCUUCUCCUUGUUACUGGUGGAUUUUCUGAUGUGCAGAUGGCUAGUUUGCGUCCAUCAGUGCUAAAACUUUGAACGAAUCUUGUUCUUCUUCGGAAAUCCAACUGAAUUUCCAUCUCGUUCUGAAUUGAGUUCUGAUUGCCGGGUGACAGAGGUGAGAGGAUAACCGAACAGCGGGCUCGCAGGGUCACUAUGCGAGAGCACAUAUCCUCGCAUAGCAGCUUACAUGUAGCCCUAUAAAAUCAAAUUCAGCCCCAUGUUACCUGAUUUCCUGUUAAUGGAUUUUACUGCUUUUCUGUUUUGGACCCUGUGUAACUUGUUGUAUUUCUGGAGCAGUGCAGCGAGGAGGAGGCUAUGAAGUACGUCCAAUACUUUAACCUACAGCCAUCUAAUAUGCAAAUUUAAUAAUAGAAGAAGAUAACCUCAUUUAUAUACUGGAAAAUGAAAAACAUAAAAAGUAUAAGAUGACCCAAUUACUCUUUUAUGUGCACCUUGUGUGCGUAGACACUGGACUACAAUUGUAGCAACAAAGAGUAUAUCAAUUUAUCAGGUAAUAGAAAUAGUGCUACUUUUUUGGAUGCAGUCACAAAGACAAGACUUUUUUUUGUGAUUAGAGAGGGUGCUUUCUUACUUGCUGAUCACUGAAUGCGUGAGUAAUCAUUAUUAUGUUGGAUUGGUAGAUGUUGUUUGAUGCCAUAAAAAUGCUCUGUACCUGAAUCAACUAUAGAGUGCCCAAAGAAAGAAGAAAUAAACACUUUCGAUAAUUUAGCACCAUUAAAAAAUCGAUGAACUAACCUUUUUUUUAAAGACACUUCUGGGAUAUGUAGGUUGACCAUUGUACUGAGUUGGGGGUUCUCAAACAGUUUGACAUUUGUGUGUCAUUUGUCUUGAAAUUCUUUGCAUCUGGUACGCAUCAUUUGUGUGCAACCAAUUGGACUCAUCAUCUUCAUAAAUAUUCUCUUUUUCAUCGAGGAUGUCUCUGUUGAAAUGCAUGGAAUUUGGUACUGCACCACCUGCACAUGUUAUGUUCUGCAGUUGUGUGGCUACCAAUUGUCCGGUAGCUGGCACUUGCGACACAAUGUUACUGCCAUCGAGGACGGCAGCAAUAUGCUUAUUUUGCUUGCGGGUUUGGCGUUGUCGCUUUAAUAUUUCCUCUCUAUUUUGUGCAUACCGCUCCCUUUCCAUCCGAUUCUUAAUCUCAUUACGGUCUGAAUAUAUGAACAAUAGAUCAUUAUAUAGUAAUACAACUGGGCCGUAUAUCAUGAAGUUGAUCAUCGUUACCUUGUGAUACAGCCAACUGUGUGUGUGCUCUGUUAUUUAGGCCAUUGAUCUUGGCAGCGGCAAUUUUUUUCUGUUUGUAGGCCUCAUGCCGUCUCUUAUUAAUCUCAUCCCUAUUUUGUGCAUAUUGCUCUCUAUCCAUCUGCCUUUUUAUUUCUUUAGGGUCUGCAAAUCAUGACACAAUUCAGCAGUUGAGCAACAAUCGAGGGACUGGGUUAUGAUCAUUACCUGUUGGGAGUGCUCGGUGAGGCUUUUAGGUGAGGUCAGUACCAUGUGCAUUUGCCAAGGCUUCAUGGUAUGAUUUCAGGUUUAGGUCAGAAAAGCAACAGGAUCAAUCAAAUGGAUCACACUGGCAACAUGUUGGCAAAUAAGCAUGCACCUGCGGAGCAGUUCAUCGGCGCUGUGACUUCGUCGUAUGCGCAGUGCGGCGAUGGCGCGGGACAGUCUGGGUGGCGGCGGCGUGUAAAAGCCUCACAAAGUUCAGACAGUCUGGGCGGCACCUUUGUUGGCGAAGAGCUCAGACGUGAAUGACGCGGGGCAGGUCAGCUCGUCGCACCCGUCGUCGGGUCCCUCGCCGGCUGGGCAGGGCAGCGAUGGCGCAGGUCAACCUGGACGCCUGGAUGGGAACAAAGUUUAGACAGUCUGGGCGGUACCUGUAUUGACGAAGAGCUCGUCGUUGUGGCCGUCGUCUGGUGCCUUGCCGUCUACGCAGGGCAGCGAUGGCGCAGGUAAACCUGGAUGCCUGGACGGCAAUAGAGUUCAGCUAGUCUCGGCGCGGCACCUGUGUCGGCAAAGAGCUCGUCGUCGCCGCCGUGGUCGGGUGCCUCGUCGGCUGUCCAGGGCAGCGAUGUCGCGGGUUAACCUGGACGCCUGGAUGGCAACGCGGAACGGCGGCGGCGGCGGGGGAAAAUAAAUUGGUUGCCGCUAAUUUAGCAACUUUCUUUCUGUAUUGUUGAACAAUUCAUGCGGAACGAACGUUUGGUUUCCCUUUUGCGAUUGU
Triticum aestivum (bread wheat) is the source of this 2713-nucleotide long non-coding RNA. RefSeq lists it as uncharacterized. The record is from RefSeq and is a predicted model, not a curated record. The transcript has 3 exons. Lineage: Eukaryota; Viridiplantae; Streptophyta; Magnoliopsida; Poales; Poaceae.